ACCAAACAUGCUUGAGGAUUUAGAAGCCACAGGACAACAGGGGUUUCAUUCCAAAUAUCCACCAACUAAAUCUGAAUUCAUUAUUAUAACUGCUGCUAAAAGUAGCAUUAUUAUAACCUAAACAUUUCAAUAAAUGUGAAACCAUUACAUGCCCUAUGCUUGUUCAAUUUAAAGCAAAGAUAACUUCAGAUUCAAUAGAGGGUCAAACACUCAAGUGCCUACAAUGGCCCAGUUCUUAGUGCAUGGUCUAAAUCAGAAAUCAGAUCAUUGACGUCUUCUAUCCCCACAGAGAUACGAACAAGAUCUUCAGUGAGACCUCUGGCCUCUCGCAAUGCCACUGGUAUACUUGCAUGGGACAUAA
This 361-nucleotide unclassified non-coding RNA is filed under the name Hevea brasiliensis (rubber tree). The record is from RNAcentral. Lineage: Eukaryota; Viridiplantae; Streptophyta; Magnoliopsida; Malpighiales; Euphorbiaceae.